RNAcentral lists this transfer RNA (69 nucleotides) under Heterocephalus glaber (naked mole-rat). It matches the Rfam family "tRNA". From Rfam's summary of the family: Transfer RNA (tRNA) molecules are approximately 80 nucleotides in length. Their secondary structure includes four short double-helical elements and three loops (D, anti-codon, and T loops). Further hydrogen bonds mediate the characteristic L-shaped molecular structure. tRNAs have two regions of fundamental functional importance: the anti-codon, which is responsible for specific mRNA codon recognition, and the 3' end, to which the tRNAs corresponding amino acid is attached (by aminoacyl-tRNA synthetases). tRNAs cope with the degeneracy of the genetic code in two manners: having more than one tRNA (with a specific anti-codon) for a particular amino acid; and 'wobble' base-pairing, i.e. permitting non-standard base-pairing at the 3rd anti-codon position. The record is from Rfam by way of RNAcentral. Lineage: Eukaryota; Metazoa; Chordata; Mammalia; Rodentia; Bathyergidae.
GGCAUUGUAGCUCAGUGGUAGAGCACUUGACUAGCAUGCAGGAGGCCCUAGGUUCCAUCCCCACUACCA